RNAcentral lists this ribosomal RNA (250 nucleotides) under uncultured prokaryote. Its description in RNAcentral is "partial 16S ribosomal RNA". It matches the Rfam family "Bacterial small subunit ribosomal RNA", at positions 524 to 774 of the family's 1533-position model. The record is from RNAcentral.
UACGUAGGUGGCAAGCGUUAAUCGGAAUUACUGGGCGUAAGCGCACGUAGGCUGUUUUGUAAGUCAGGGGUGAAAGCCCACGACUCAACCGUGGAAUUGCCUUUGAUACUGCGAGACUUGAAUUCGGGAGAGGAUGGCGGAAUUCCAGGUGUAGGAGUGAAAUCCGUAGAUAUCUGGAGGAACAUCAGUGGCGAAGGCAGCCAUCUGGAUCGAUACUGACGCUGAGGUGCGAAAGCGUGGGGAGCAAACA